GAUGAACGCUGGCGGCGUGCCUAAUACAUGCAAGUCGAACGGUCUUUUCUAUGGAAGCUUGCUUCCACUGAGAAGAUAGUGGCGAACGGGUGAGUAACACGUGGGUAACCUGCCCAUAAGAGAGGGAUAACAUCCGGAAACGGGUGCUAAUACCGCAUAGGUUUCUUGGUCGCAUGAUCGAGAAAGGAAAGACGGCCUUUGUGCUGUCGCUUAUGGAUGGACCCGCGGCGUAUUAGUUAGUUGGUGAGGUAACGGCUCACCAAGACGAUGAUACGUAGCCGACCUGAGAGGGUGAUCGGCCACAUUGGGACUGAGACACGGCCCAAACGCCUACGGGAGGCAGCAGUAGGGAAUCUUCCGCAGUGGACGAAAGUCUGACGGAGCAACGCCGCGUGAGUGAAGAAGGUUUUCGGAUCGUAAAACUCUGUUGUCAGAGAAGAACAAGUCGGAGAGUAACUGCUCCGGCCUUGACGGUAUCUGACCAGAAAGCCACGGCUAACUACGUGCCAGCCGCCGCUGUAA
Molecule: ribosomal RNA, 522 nt
Filed under: uncultured bacterium
Lineage: Bacteria
Description: partial 16S ribosomal RNA
Rfam family: Bacterial small subunit ribosomal RNA
Source: RNAcentral